RNAcentral lists this ribosomal RNA (507 nucleotides) under Triticum aestivum (bread wheat). RNAcentral's name for it is "partial small subunit ribosomal RNA". Lineage: Eukaryota; Viridiplantae; Streptophyta; Magnoliopsida; Poales; Poaceae. The record is from RNAcentral.
AUGGCCCUUAUUGACUUAGGGCGUCUCGCUUUCCGGCGCCCCUUCGGCCCCCUUGAGGUGGCCGCUUGGGACUCCCUCCUUUAGGACAUCGCCCUUCUCUCGAUGGACGUCGAGGGCGUCCCUGAUUCCGUCUCUUGGCGGCUAGAGUCCUCUGGCCGCUUCUCCACUAAGUCCCUUUACGCAACCAUCGCACCCUCGACUGCACCGGACCCCUUUAGCCUGAUCUGGGACAUUCGCUUGCCUCUGAAGAUUAGGAUCUUCCUGUGGUAGUGGAUCCGCAGACGUCUCCCCUCUGGGGUUGAGGUCCUCAAGUGUAAUGGCCCAGGGGAUGGGCUCUGCCCCCUGUGCGGCACGGUGGAUGAUGCUAACCACAUCUUCUUCUCUUGCUCCACUGCCCAGUUCCUGUGGGCCUGCUUCCGCGAGACGGUCGGUGGACAGUGGUGCAACACAAACUUCCCUGACCUACUUGCUGAGAUGCAUGCCUCCCCCUCGCUACCACCAUAUUAG